GGAAUAUUGCACAAUGGGGGAAACCCUGAUGCAGCGACGCCGCGUGAGUGAAGAAGUAAUUCGUUACGUAAAGCUCUAUCAGCAGGGAAGAAAAUGACGGUACCUGAGUAAGAAGCCCCGGCUAACUACGUGCCAGCAGCCGCGGUAAUACGUAGGGGGCAAGCGUUAUCCGGAUUUACUGGGUGUAAAGGGAGCGCAGACGGUACGCCAAGUCUGAAGUGAAAUGCCGCAGCUUAACUGCGGAACUGCUUUGGAAACUGGCGGGCUGGAGUGCGGGAGGGGUAAGCGGAAUUCCUAGUGUAGCGGUGAAAUGCGUAGAUAUUAGGAGGAACACCAGUGGCGAAGGCGGCUUACUGGACUGUAACUGACGUUGAGGCUCGAAAGCGUGGGGAGCAAAC
This 398-nucleotide ribosomal RNA is filed under the name uncultured bacterium. RNAcentral describes it as "bacterial SSU rRNA". It matches the Rfam family "Bacterial small subunit ribosomal RNA", at positions 358 to 773 of the family's 1533-position model. The record is from RNAcentral.